UACGGGGGGAGCAAGCGUUGUUCGGAUUUACUGGGCGUAAAGGGCGCGUAGGCGGCGUGACAAGUCACUUGUGAAAUCUCCGGGCUUAACUCAGAACGGUCAAGUGAUACUGUCGUGCUAGAGUACAGAAGGGGCAACUGGAAUUCUCGGUGUAGCGGUGAAAUGCGUAGAUAUCGAGAGGAACACCUGCGGCGAAGGCGGGUUGCUGGGCUGACACUGACGCUGAGGCGCGAAAGCUAGGGGAGCGAACGGG
Molecule: ribosomal RNA, 253 nt
Filed under: uncultured bacterium
Lineage: Bacteria
Description: partial 16S ribosomal RNA
Rfam family: Bacterial small subunit ribosomal RNA
Source: RNAcentral